Molecule: RNA transcript, 2600 nt
Organism: Cucumis melo (muskmelon)
Lineage: Eukaryota; Viridiplantae; Streptophyta; Magnoliopsida; Cucurbitales; Cucurbitaceae
Gene name: S-adenosyl-L-methionine-dependent tRNA 4-demethylwyosine synthase
Exons: 10
Source: RefSeq, a predicted model, not a curated record
UUAGGGCAACCAUCCAAUGUAGAUUUGGGCUUGGACUUUGUUCACUUCAGUUCGCAUUUGGGCAGCCCGCUCCGACCUGGAUGCUCCGGCGAGGCCACCUUCUUCUUCUUCUUCUUCAGUUUCCAAUAUUCUCUCGUGCGUCGCAACAAAAAUGAAGCGAAGGAUCUCUUCUUUCGGUUUACGUUCGAUCAAUUAACCUAAUAGCAUCUCAAAACCAAUCAAUUCGCCAUGUCCUUUUCUUCACGCUCCGCAAAGCUCACCAUUCUAGCUCUUCUCUCCGCCUCUACUUUGUAUUGUUUCUACAAGUCCCGCCGUCUCAGAAAGCUUAAACUCUCCUUAAACCCCACUCUUUCUUCUCGCAAACCCAAACUGUUUUUCAUUUCUCAAACUGGUACCUCCAAGGCCCUAGCUCAUCGUCUGCUCAACGUUUUGAAUUCCAAUGGGUUGGUUUUCGAUCUUGUUGAUCCCAAGGAUUACGAGCCUGAGGAUCUUUUUAAGGAAACUUUAGUUUUGUUUGUUGCUUCCACUUGGGAAGACGGAGGACCGCCUCCUCAUGCUAAAUUUCUCGCUAAUUGGCUAUCUGAAAGCGCUGAGGAUUUUAGAGUUGGUUCGUUGUUGCUUUCUCAGUGUAAAUUUUCUGUGUUUGGGGUUGGUAGUCGAGUUUAUGGUGAGACAUACAAUGCGGUUGCAAGGGAUUUUUCUAAGCGGAUGAAGGCAUUGGGUGCGAAGGAGAUUUUACCGAUUGGCGAAGGAGACGUUGAUGGAGGUGAUAUUGAUAAGUGUUUUGAUGAUUGGAGUAGGAAAUUGCUGAAGGUUGUGAAGGUUGAUGCCGAGGGAAAUGGGGUGGAAUUAUGUUCUGGGAUUGCUGGGGACAGUGAUGCUGUAAGUGUUGAGGAGGAGUAUGAAGAAGAAGAUGACGACCUUGGGGAGGAGGACAUCGUUGAUCUUGAGGAUAUUGCCGGUAAGGGCCCUUCGAGAAAGUCUACGAAUGUAGUUGAAACUAAUGGGAAGUUGAAUGGGAAAAAGGUUAUGGUGACCCCGGUGAUUAGAGCGAGCUUGGAAAAGCAGGGAUAUAAAAUUAUUGGCUCACAUAGCGGAGUAAAAAUAUGUAGAUGGACGAAGUCUCAGCUUCGAGGACGAGGAGGUUGCUAUAAACAUUCAUUUUAUGGCAUAGAAAGUCAUCGAUGCAUGGAGGCAACUCCCAGUUUGGCGUGUGCCAACAAAUGUGUUUUCUGCUGGAGGCAUCACACAAAUCCAGUAGGAAAGAGUUGGCAGUGGGAGAUGGAUGAUCCAUUGGAUAUUGUGAAUUCCGCAAUAGAUUUACACACAAAGAUGAUCAAGCAAAUGAAAGGUGUUCCGGGUGUUACGCAGGAGAAAUUGGAGGAAGGCCUGUCUCCAAGACAUUGUGCCUUAUCCCUUGUUGGUGAACCUAUUAUGUACCCGGAGAUUAAUACACUUGUUGAUGAAUUGCAUCAAAGACGGAUUUCAACUUUCUUGGUGACAAAUGCUCAGUUUCCCGAUAAAAUAAAAUUGCUGAAGCCAGUCACCCAGUUGUAUGUAAGUGUAGAUGCUGCGACGAAGGAGAGCUUGAAGGCAAUUGAUAGACCACUUUUUGGGGAUUUCUGGGAGCGAUUCAUUGAUUCUUUGAAAGCUCUAAAUGAAAAGCAACAGCGAACAGUUUAUCGAUUGACGUUGGUGAAGGGGUGGAACACAGAAGAUAUCGAUGCCUAUUCGAAUCUCUUUAGCAUUGGUAGACCUGAUUUUGUAGAAAUCAAGGGCGUCACGUAUUGUGGAUCAUCUAAUACAUCAAAGUUGACAAUGGAGAAUGUUCCUUGGCAUUCUGAUGUUAAGUCUUUUUCGGAGGCUUUAGCUGCGAAAAGUCAAGGGGAGUAUGAAGUUGCUUGUGAGCACGUGCACUCGUGUUGCGUUCUUUUAGCUAAAACUGACAAAUUUAGGGUCGAUGGCCAGUGGUUCACUUGGAUAGAUUACGAGAAAUUCCAUGACCUGGUGGCCUCUGGAAAACCUUUUGAUAGCAAGGACUACAUGGCUCCAACACCAUCAUGGGCUGUAUAUGGCUCUGACGAAGGUGGAUUCGAUCCUGAUCAAUCUCGAUACAGGAAGGAGCGACAUCAUAAACCAAAACCCACAUCCUGACAGCUUUGAAUGUCCGGAUUCCUCUUAUAGGAUUGUACAGAAACAAAGCUUGUCAUUGCCAACUCCAUCCGAUCAGUUCAAGUGCAACCCGUGGAGAAUAAAGUACUUUAAUUGGUUGCGAGUGGCGAGGGAGUAAAGAGUCUUCUGGGGCUGCUGGUGAAUAACCCACGGUAAAAGAUGGAGAGACAAGAUCCUCAUCUGCUGGUCAUUUGUCCCCAGGUAAAUUUCUUUGGUGAUAUGUGAAAUUGACCUUGGAACAUAGUUUCUUCUAUUAUUUGGUCGUUUGUUUUAGGAAGUUUUACAUACCAUGAACCAAAGAACGGGAUGACCAUUGAUUUAGAUAUAUUUAAAGGCUUAGGAAUUCAGAAUUAGUGUGUUGUUUCGUAGGGUUUAUCCCCUAAAUUUUGGAUUUAAAUUCUAUAUUUAUGUUCUCUUUUAGAUACGAA